AGUGAACGCUGGCGGUAGGCCUAACACAUGCAAGUCGAACGGCAGCACAGUAAGAGCUUGCUCUUACGGGUGGCGAGUGGCGGACGGGUGAGGAAUACAUCGGAAUCUACUUUUUCGUGGGGGAUAACGUAGGGAAACUUACGCUAAUACCGCAUACGACCUACGGGUGAAAGCAGGGGAUCUUCGGACCUUGCGCGAUUGAAUGAGCCGAUGUCGGAUUAGCUAGUUGGCGGGGUAAAGGCCCACCAAGGCGACGAUCCGUAGCUGGUCUGAGAGGAUGAUCAGCCACACGGGAACUGAGACACGGUCCAGCCUCCUACGGGAGGCAGGAGGGGGGAAUAUUGGAAAAUGGGCGCAAGCCUGAUCCAGCCAUGCCGCGGGGGGGAAGAAGGCCUUCGGGUUGUAAAGCCCUUUUGUGGGGAAAAAAAAGCAGCAGGUUAAUACCCCGCUGUUCUGAGGGUACCCAAAGAAUAAGCACCGGCUAACUUCGU
This 491-nucleotide ribosomal RNA is filed under the name uncultured bacterium. RNAcentral describes it as "partial 16S ribosomal RNA". It matches the Rfam family "Bacterial small subunit ribosomal RNA", at positions 29 to 506 of the family's 1533-position model. The record is from RNAcentral.